GACGAACGCUGGCGGCGUGCUUAACACAUGCAAGUCGAACGAUGAAGGCUGGAGCUUGCUCCGGCCGGAUUAGUGGCGAACGGGUGAGUAACACGUGAGUAACCUGCCCUUCACUCUGGGAUAACUACCGGAAACGGUGGCUAAUACCGGAUACGACCUUCGGAGGCAUCUCCUGAAGGUGGAAAGAACUUUGGUGAAGGAUGGACUCGCGGCCUAUCAGGUAGUUGGUGAGGUAACGGCUCACCAAGCCGACGACGGGUAGCCGGCCUGAGAGGGUGACCGGCCACACUGGGACUGAGACACGGCCCAGACUCCUACGGGAGGCAGCAGUGGGGAAUAUUGCACAAUGGGCGCAAGCCUGAUGCAGCAACGCCGCGUGAGGGACGAAUGCCUUCGGGUUGUAAACCUCUUUUAGCAGGAAAGAAGCGAAAGUGACGGUACCUGCAGAAAAAGCACCGGCUAACUACGUG
This 470-nucleotide ribosomal RNA is filed under the name uncultured bacterium. Its description in RNAcentral is "bacterial SSU rRNA". It matches the Rfam family "Bacterial small subunit ribosomal RNA", at positions 28 to 507 of the family's 1533-position model. The record is from RNAcentral.